ACAUCAAUUGACUGUCUCUGAGGUUGAGGACAUUUUGAAGAUCCUUAAUGCCCUGAAGAUAUUAAAAGGAAGUUGAACUGGAUAUACAUUCGGGUGACCAGCUCUAUCAGUCUGGUUCACAGAGGAGGGCUAUGUGGAACUGAGCUGCAGGGAAUCUGAAAUGGACAUGUAAGGCUUAACAUUGGAUUGGGAAGUUGAUGAGAAAGUGUUCCUGGGCCUUUUGUGUGGUGAUAGCAAACAAUAUCUUCAGUCCAGGAUGCUGAUUGAGAGGGA
Molossus molossus (Pallas's mastiff bat) is the source of this 273-nucleotide long non-coding RNA. RefSeq lists it as uncharacterized. NCBI's taxonomy places the organism in Eukaryota, Metazoa, Chordata, Mammalia, Chiroptera, Molossidae. The record is from RefSeq and is a predicted model, not a curated record. The transcript has 4 exons.